RNAcentral lists this microRNA (23 nucleotides) under Pristionchus pacificus. Its description in RNAcentral is "ppc-miR-8224-5p". Lineage: Eukaryota; Metazoa; Nematoda; Chromadorea; Rhabditida; Neodiplogasteridae. The record is from miRBase by way of RNAcentral.
UAUCUGAAUUCAUCACCAGAUCU